RNAcentral lists this ribosomal RNA (525 nucleotides) under uncultured bacterium. Its description in RNAcentral is "bacterial SSU rRNA". It matches the Rfam family "Bacterial small subunit ribosomal RNA", at positions 524 to 1050 of the family's 1533-position model. The record is from RNAcentral.
UACGUAGGGGGCAAGCGUUAUCCGGAAUCACUGGGCGUAAAGGGUGCGUAGGCGGCCAUUAAAGUCAGAGGUGAAAUCCCAGGGCUCAACCCUGGUAAGCCUUUGAAACUUAAUGGCUUGAGUACAGGAGAGGAGAGUAGAAUUCCUAGUGUAGCGGUGAAAUGCGUAGAUAUUAGGAGGAAUACCAGUGGCGAAGGCGACUCUCUGGACUGUAACUGACGCUGAGGCACGAAAGCGUGGGUAGCGAACAGGAUUAGAUACCCUGGUAGUCCACGCCGUAAACGAUGAGUGCUAGGUGUUGGGGGUCAAACCUCAGUGCCGCAGUUAACGCAUUAAGCACUCCGCCUGGGGAGUACGUUCGCAAGAAUGAAACUCAAAGGAAUUGACGGGGACCCGCACAAGCAGCGGAGCAUGUGGUUUAAUUCGAAGCAACGCGAAGAACCUUACCUGGACUUGACAUCCCUUGGCCCGCUUCUUAACCGAAGCUUUCCCUUCGGGGACUGAGGAGACAGGUGGUGCAUGGUU